CGCGGCUGAGGACGAGGAAGUGCUGGGGGACAACUUGCCCCACCCCUGGGAAAGUCCCCGGUGAUCGACAGGCCGAUCGACCAAUCGCGCGGCGCGCUCCUGAUCGGCCCGCGGCCGCCGGGGGAGGAACGGAGCGAGGUUGAGAAUGCUGGAGAGACCUCCUAGAUGAGGAAGUAAAGAUCAGACAACAGGAAAUGACUUCCCAACAGAUGCCCAGAGCAACACUCGUCAAAUCCUGACAAUCCAAAAUAUGUUUGGAUAUUGUCAAGUGUCCCCCGGGGAGCAAGAUCAAUGCUACUGGAAAAUUUCUAUCCUGCAGCCAGACAAGGGCAGAUGCUGCUUUAAAUAACAAGAGAGAAGGAAACUGAGACACAGGCUUUGUGACUUGCCCAAGAACACGCAGCUAGCAAGUGGAAGAGCGGGGACUCCCCCUGGAGCCCAUGUUUUUAACCACAAGGCCGUCUGGCUUCCUGGACACUGUGCUCAGUGGCAAAGAACCAUUACGUG
Non-coding RNA from Ictidomys tridecemlineatus (thirteen-lined ground squirrel), 507 nucleotides. Lineage: Eukaryota; Metazoa; Chordata; Mammalia; Rodentia; Sciuridae. The record is from RefSeq and is a predicted model, not a curated record.